GUAGCCAACCCAGUGGGUGUGAAGUGAUAUUUCAUUGUGGUUUUAAUUUGCAUUUACCUAAUGACUAAUGAUGUUAAGCAUCCUGUCAUAUACUUGUUGGCCAUUCAUGUAUUUUCUUUAGAUAUAUGUCUAUUCGGCUUCUUUGCCCAAAGUUAUCUUUUCACUUUCUUGAUAAUGUCCUUUCAUGCACAAAAGUUUUUAAUUUUCAUGGCAUUUAGUUUAUUUGCUUUUUCUUUUGUUGUUUAUGCUUUUGAAUUAUCUAAGAAUUCAUUGCCAAAUCCAUGGUCAUGAAGCUUACCUCUUCUUCUAAGAGUUUUAUAACAUUAGCUCCUACAUUUAGGUUGUUUAUCCCUUUUGAGUUAUUUUAUAUAGUAUGAGGUAGGAGUGCAACUUCAUUCCUCAACACAUGACUACCCGGUUGUCCCAGCGUCAUCUGUUGAGGAAACUAUCCGUUUCCUUUACAGUGGUCUUGGCACUGCUGUUGCAAGUCAAUUAACUGUAUGUGUGAAGAUUUAUCUCUGGGCUUUUUAUCCUGUUCAAUAGAUCUUCAUGUCUAUCUUUAUGUCAGCACCACACCGUUUUGAUUACAGUAGCUUUUUAUUAAGUUUUGAAAUCAGGUAGUGGGAGUCCUCCAACUUUGUUCUUUUUCAAAAUUGUUUUGGCUCCUUUCAAUACCAUGUGAAUUUGAAAUUUGGCUUUCCUAUUUCUUGAGAGAAAAAAAAAGACUAUUGGAAUUCUGAUAGAGAUUACAUUGAAUCUGUAGAUCACAUUGGGUAAUACUGCUAUUCUAAUAAUAUUAAGUCUUCCAAUCCAUUAAGAUAAGUUGUCUCCAUUUAUUUAGGUCUCUAACCUUGAUUAUAUUUAUUUAUACCUAUUUAUUUUGGAUGCUAUUGUAAGUGAAAGUUUUCUUAAUUUUGUCUUUGGAUAAUUCGUUGCUAGUGUAUGGAAAUAAACUGAUUUUUGUGUACUGAUCUGCAGUUUUUUAGAAUUUGUUUAUUAGCUGUAAUUGUAUUUUGUAGAGUAUUUAGGAUUUUAUAUAUAUAAGAUCAUGUCAUCUGUGGAGAAAGGUAGCCUUACUUCUUCCUCUCCGAUUUGUAUGUCUUUUUUUCUUUUGCUUGCCUAACUGCUCUGGCUAGAAUGUCCAGUAUAAUGCCAUGCUGAAGUGGCAAACAUGGGCAUUCUUGUCUUCUUCCUCAUCUUAUGAGGACUGCUUUCAGACUCUAACCAUUCAUUAUGUUAGCUGUGGAUUUUCCAUAAAUUCUCUUUGUGAGAUUGAGGAAUUUUCCUUCCUCCAAGUUGGUCAAGCUAUCUUUAUCAUGGAAUGCUGCUGAAUUUUGUAAAAUGUUUUCUUACAUGAAUUGAGGUGACCAUGUGGUGUUUUUUUUCUUAAUUGUAUUAAUGUGGUAUAUUAUAUUGAUUUUCAUAUAUUGAGCCUCACUUGAAUUUUGAAUACAUCUCAUUUGGUCACAGUGUAUAAUGAUUGUAACAUGCUGCCUGAUUCAACUUUAUUGAGGAUUUUUACCCAUAUGUUCAUAAGGAAUGUUGGUCUCUAGUUUUCUUUUCUAAUGAUACCAUCAUCUGGCUUUGGUAUUAAUGCUGGAUCUAAGGCAGGAUAGGAUAUAGCUGGAUAAUAUUUUUAACCCAUUCUGCCAAUCUUUGACUUUUAAUUGGAGUUAGUUCAUUUACAUUUAAAGUGGUUACUACCAAGGAAGGACUUCUGACAUUUUUGUUUGUUUUCUAUAUUUCAUCUUUUGUUCCUUAGUUCCUUCAUUAUUGCCUUCUUUUGUGUUUAGUUGUUUUUUAUAAUGUAUCAUUUUGAUUAUUUUAUUUUAUGUAUAAUUUCUAGUUAUUUUCUUACUGGUUAUCCUCUAUAACCAGGGCUGCUAUAACUCUGGCCCUAUACAGCUCUAUCCCACCCCUUUAUGGCAUUGUCAUCAUGAAUUAAUCUUUGUAUGUCGUGUAACCAUUAGCAUAGAUGAUAAUUUAUGUCUUAUGCAUUUGUCUUUUAAGUCAUACGGGGGGAAAGCAGAGUUACAAACCAAAAAUACAAUAAAACAGUUAUGCUAUCUCUUGUAUUUACCUAUGUAUUUGAUUUUACCAGUGUUCCUUAUUUCUUUGUAUGGCUUCAAGUUCAUUUUCAUCUGAAGAACUCCCUUUAGUAUUCCGAUAGGGCAGGUCUACUAGUGAUGAACCACUUCAGCUUUUGUUUAUCGAGAAAUGUCCUAGUUUCUCCUUCAUUUUUCAAGUAUAGUUUUGCUGGAUAUACAAUUUUUGGUUGGCAGGUUUUUUUUUUCUUUCAGCACUUUAUAUAUGUCAUUCCAUGCCUUCAGAUUCCGUGGAUUGUGCUGAGAAAUCAGCUGUUAAUCUUGAGAAUCACUCAUAUGUAAUGCCUUUCUUAUCGCAUUGCUCUCAAGACUCUCUGCCUUUGACUUUCAGCAGUUUGAUUUUAAUGUGUCUCAGUAUGGUUAUCCUUGUGUUUGUCCUCCUCGGAGUUUGUUGAGCUUCUUGGAUAUGCAGAUUUUUGUUCAAAUUGAGGGAGUUAGGGACCAUUAUACUUCAGAUAUUCUUUCUGUCCCCUUCUCUAUGUCCUGUCUCUUGGGACUCCUAUGAUGAGUAUGUUUGCAUGCUUGAUGAUAUCCAAAAGGCCUAUCUUUUUCCAUUCCUUCUUUCUUCUCCCCACCCUGCAUAAUUUUAGUUGAUCUGUCUUCAAGUUUGUUGGUUCUUUCUUCUACCUACUCAAAUAUGCUAUUGAAACCUACUAUUGAAUUCUUCAUUUAUGUUUCUGUACUUUUUAGGUCCAGAAUUUCUGUUGGGGUCCUUUUUAUAUUUUCUGUAUCUUUAUUGAUAUUCUCUAUUUGUUGAGACAUCAUUUUACUGGUUUCCUCUAUCUCUUUGCCCAUGGUUUCCUUUAGCUCUUUUAACCUAAUAAGUCAGUUGGUUUAAAAUCUUUGCUUCAUAUGACCACUGUCUGUGCUUCCUAAAGGACAGUCUCUGUUGACUUCCUCCAUGAAUAGGCUAUACUUUUCUACUUUUCUCUGCAUACCACAUAUUUUUGUGAAAAACUGGAUAUUUGAAUAUUAUGAUAACUAAAAAUCAGAUUCUUCCCCCUCCUCAGGUAAUUUAUUUUAUUUUAUUUUUGCUUGUUGUGGUUGUAGUGGUUUGUUUCUUUUAUUAUUUUUCUAAACUAUUUUUGUAAAGUCUGUAUUCUUUGUUGGGUGUAGUCUCUGAAGUCUCUCUGUUCUUUUGGCUUGUAGUCAGCUAGUGUUGUGGAAGUUGUCUCGAAUACCUAAAUGAGAGGAAGGAAAGGGAAAGGCUGAAAGAGAUAGGAAAGGAAAUGAAAGAAAAAAGAGCCUCUCCCAACGUUUGCAGAUUAGUUGUCUAAGUUUAGUGUGUAGCCAGGCUAUUUACAGCUCUGCAUUAGCCUGCACUUUGUGAGAGGUGAAAGCUCCAGGUGUUCUCUGGUCUUUCUGGGCAUGCAUUCUGCCCUGGGCAUGCACAUGGCUUUCUAGAUUCCCUGGUGUAUGCAGACACUUUGCAAUACCCUAAUCUCCCAAAGAAACUCUCUCCCCAGUUUCUCUUUCUAGACUGUUGGAGUGUCAGGUGUUUUGUGUUGAUUUGUUUGUUUGUUUGUUUUGCCUCAAAUUCAGUCUCUGCCCCAGAAGUAGCACAUUUGUUCAUUUGCCUUACAGUGUUUCCAAGGAAUGCCCUCUACAUAGCCACUCUUUCACUGUGACAGAGCUCGAAGUCAGGUGGAACAGAAGCAACCACCCUACACCAGCCCUUCAGAUAGUCUCCAGAUGGGUCAAAACAGACAAAACACAGUUCUUUGAGGAUAUUAUCUUUUCUGCUUCCAGAACCAGAGACUGGAGUCUACCCUGGGAACUCAGGCUGCUAUCUUCAAGAUCAUCACUAGGCCAGGAAGGGAAGUGAGACAAGAGCAAGCAAAAUUCCACAAAGUUUUCCUUAUGUGUGUAUAUGCUUGUGGUGCUUCUGACCUGGAAGAGAUCCCAAUGACACGAGCCUCCUGCACUAAUUCCUGAACAAAACUGGGGCCUUGGGUGAAACAGAAGCGGCAGUUUUGAGACGUUAGUUGCUAUGAUCGGCCUGCAGAAAGAACAGAGGCCAGCAGUCUUUGGAAUUCAGUAGAGGAUGCAAGAUGGAGCAAAUUAUCUUUCACUCGAGUAGCUGUCCCAGCAUGACUCUGACCACUGGACCUCUAAGAGAUUUCCCUGCGUGGCAGGUUCCUGAGUCUUUGAAAGGGCAUUUAAUGGACUCACAAAACUGAGCCACAAAAGACGACAUCUGCACCCACCUCCCACACCAAACAUCAGCAGAAAGUCUUUUCGUGGCCACUCACCUUUAUUUUAUAAUGUCCCCAAGCUACCAGAAAAUUGCACUUCAAGAGCCAGAAGGAGAGGAGGGGAUGUGGGCCAGAAUUAUAGGUAACCAGGGGAUUCUGUGUGCUUCUCCUGAGACAUUCCUCCUAAGAGUUUGCAACGAAGAUGCUGAGUACGCAGACCGUCACUUCAGCCUUCACCACAUAAUGACAUGGCGUGAUCAGGCGUAUCAUUAGGGCAUGCUACAAAAUGUUAUUUCUUCCUGCCUCAUUCUGGUUUCCCCAAACCUGAAUCAGUAAUUCCAGUGGGUCAGUUCUCCCCAGAAUAGAAGUAUCUCCAGAACCUGCUGAAGAUUACUGCGAUUCCUGCCACAUCACUGCGAUUACUGCAGUACGAUUUUGGAGCGGGACCGUCUUGGGUUCAAGUCUUGGCUCCCAUGUGUGACUUUUGACAAGGGGCUUAAUGUCUUUGAGCCUAGAUUUCAUUAUUUAUAAAGUGAGAAUAUCUACCACAUGGCACAUUUAUAAAGAUAAAAGAUCAUGUAUGUACUUCGCAUUAUAAGUAAUACAAAGUAAAUGCUCAACAAAAUGAUGAUUAGCCUGUGUUUUAUACCUUAAUAUCUGCUCCAACCUCGAUUAUAUGACAUCCUCCUGAUGGGACUGUCUCCUCCCUUCCCUCUUCAGGCCAGCAUCUCCUUGCUUUUGCCACAGCCCCUGUGUUAAAAAUCUUCAUCAUCAUCACACAUUUUCCCUGCUGAAAAGUUGCAUCACGAUGCUUACUGAACAACUCUCAAAUCCUUGUCUCGCCAUGAAAGUUCUCUGUGCCUUGACUCUUGUUCCCUUUCACUUGUGUCUUUCACUGACAGCAACAUAUGGACACGUGCUGCGUGCCGGGUGUGGUGGACGUAGUGUGAGCAAGACCGCAUCCCUGCAUCCAUGUGGCACAUGUAACCAGCUGCAGUCACUACCCAGAGCUCACUGCCCCUGAGAACACCUCACUCACUUACCCCAUUAAUGAAGGCAUGAAUACUCGUGCCUCGAGUAACAAAUAAGGGCUGCAACGUAGGCAAAGGUGAGGACAGAGAUCCAUCUCAUUGAAGGGAGCGUUCAGAGGAAAGGAAGACAAAUACAAAAAUGGGAAAUCCAGUCUCUGGUUUUAGCUUUAACACUAAUGGGAGUGUGGGGCGAGGUGCUACAGGAGCCAGUGCAGGUAUUUACAGCCAUGCAAGAGUCCCAAUCCAGUAGAGGUGGUUAGAGACGCUUCGCAGACAAAGUGUCAUGAGUGUAGGCCCUGAAAGAUGGGUAGGAUUUCUACAGCAUUCCAACCAGUGGGAAAAGCAUCAAACCAGGCCAGUCACCUUGGCAACCAGGUGUCACAUUAUCAUCAGAGAAACUACUUGUGCAUGUAAUGAUCUUAGGAUUGCUCAGCUGCAGGCAUUCUGGUCGUCGAAAAACAGCCGUUCUCAAAUGUUGGUGUCCGUCGGCCUCACCUAGACAGCUAAUGAAUGGCCCAGACUUACUGAAGUAGACCAGUCUUUAGUAAACUUCAGUAAAAAUGGGCCUGAGCCUGUUUUUACCAACUUUCCCAGGUGGUUUUUGAAACACGUUACAUUUGGAGAACCACUGCCUUAAAAACUAAGCCAGUGCUUUUCCAAGUCUGGUCUGUGACCAGCAGCAGCAUCGGCUGGGAGCUGCUUACAAAUGCGGGAGCUCAGAAUCCACCCCAGACCUACUGAAUGAGUAUGUGUGUAUUAAUAUUAUAUCCGGGUGAUUCAUGUGGACGCUUAACUGUGACAGGAACUGAUUCAAACAAGUGGCUCUUAACCAGAGUUUCACACUGGAAGUUUUAAAAUUUACUGAUACCUGAUCAUACCCUCAGAUUCUUACCAUAUUUGUAUGGGCGUGGCCUGGACAUGGGUAAGUCCAAUGGGAAGCAGAGUCUAUAACUCACAGCUCGAAGGAAUUUCCAGGUGUUCAUGAUUCUUUGUAAAUACACCAAAGUAAUAUGGGCUCCUUGAUAUUUUUUCCUUGAUAGUUUUUGUUUUUUUGUGUGCAUAUGUGUAUCCAAAACUUGGAUUGUACUGCUCACUAAUGGGAUUUUUUUUCACUUACAAUUAUAUCUGGUUAACUUACAUGAUGUAAUAGUUCAUUUAUAUCUCUGUAAACCUGAAGAAAAAUCUGAUUCGAGAGAAUGAUAAAGCAAUUAUGGUAAAAAAUGGCAAGAUUUGGAGAAGUUAGUGAAAGGUAAAAGGAAAUUCCUUGUACUAAUUUUUACACUUAUCCCUUGAGUUUGAAACUAUUUCAAAAUAAAGAAAAAAAUCACAUAUGUAGGGCCUCUCUCCUCAUUCUUUUUUCUAGCUGCAUAUAUUCCUUUUACAGAUUAUACUGUAUUUAUUUCAUUUAACCAGUACUCUAUUGAUAGACAUAUGGUUUUUUUCCUGUCCCCUAUAUUACAAAAAAUUUUCAAAGUUAACAUCCUUUUAUUUUUUUUUACAAUAUUAUUCCAUUUAUUUAAACUGAAAAAAACCAAACUUUACCCAUUUCUCCCAACACCCCUCCCCACCCCCCAGCCUCCUACAAGCACCAAUCUGUUCUCUGUAUCUAUAAGUUUGGUAUUUUUCUUUGUCAGUUGGUUUUAGAGUCCACAUGUAAGAGAGAUAAUACAGUAUGUCUUUCUUUCUCUGACUUACUUCAUUUAGCAUAAUGCCUCAAGUUCCACUCAUGUUAUCACAAAUGGCAAGAUUUCAUGUUUUAUGGCUGAAUAAUAUUCCACUGUG
Molecule: long non-coding RNA, 7113 nt
Organism: Felis catus (domestic cat)
Lineage: Eukaryota; Metazoa; Chordata; Mammalia; Carnivora; Felidae
Exons: 5
Source: RefSeq, a predicted model, not a curated record